Molecule: ribosomal RNA, 268 nt
Filed under: uncultured bacterium
Lineage: Bacteria
Description: partial 16S ribosomal RNA
Rfam family: Bacterial small subunit ribosomal RNA
Source: RNAcentral
UACGAAGGGGGCUAGCGUUGCUCGGAAUCACUGGGCGUAAAGGGUGCGUAGGCGGGUCUUUAAGUCAGGGGUGAAAUCCUGGAGCUCAACUCCAGAACUGCCUUUGAUACUGAAGAUCUUGAGUUCGGGAGAGGUGAGUGGAACUGCGAGUGUAGAGGUGAAAUUCGUAGAUAUUCGCAAGAACACCAGUGGCGAAGGCGACUCACUGGCCCGAGUACUGACGCUGAGGCACGAAAGCGUGGGGAGCAAAGCAGGGAUUAAGAUACCC